GACGAACGCUGGCGGCGUGCUUAACACAUGCAAGUCGAACGGAAAGGCCCUGCUUUUGUGGGGUGCUCGAGUGGCGAACGGGUGAGUAACACGUGAGUAACCUGCCCUUGACUUUGGGAUAACUUCAGGAAACUGGGGCUAAUACCGGAUAGGAGCUCCUGCUGCAUGGUGGGGGUUGGAAAGUUUCGGCGGUUGGGGAUGGACUCGCGGCUUAUCAGCUUGUUGGUGGGGUAGUGGCUUACCAAGGCCUUGACGGGUAGCCGGCCUGAGAGGGUGACCGGCCACAUUGGGACUGAGAUACGGCCCAGACUCCUAUGGGAGGCAGCAGUGGGGAAUAUUGCACAAUGGGCGGAAGCCUGAUGCAGCAACGCCGCGUGCGGGAUGACGGCCUUCGGGUUGUAAACCGCUUUCGCCUGUGACGAAGCGUGAGUGACGGUAAUGGGUAAAGAAGCACCGGCUAACUACGUG
This 468-nucleotide ribosomal RNA is filed under the name uncultured bacterium. RNAcentral describes it as "partial 16S ribosomal RNA". It matches the Rfam family "Bacterial small subunit ribosomal RNA", at positions 28 to 507 of the family's 1533-position model. The record is from RNAcentral.